RNAcentral lists this long non-coding RNA (1264 nucleotides) under Lonchura striata (white-rumped munia). RNAcentral's name for it is "domestica (Bengalese finch) lncRNA (ENSLSDG00000000483.1)". Lineage: Eukaryota; Metazoa; Chordata; Aves; Passeriformes; Estrildidae. The record is from RNAcentral.
UCCCAGUAUAUCCCAGUUCUACCCCAGUUUGUUCCGGUUUGUUCCGAUUUGUCCCGGUGCUGUACAGAGGAUUUAGAGUGCCCUGGGGAAACUGAGGCACGCCGGACGCAUCUGAGCCCGCUUCAGACCAGUGCCUUCCCAGUAUAUCCCAGUUCUACCCCAGUUUGUUCCGGUUUGUCCCAGUUUGUUCCGAUUUGUCCCGGUGCUGUAUAGAGCGUGGAGAGCCUGCUGGGGAAACUGAGGCACGCCGGACGCAUCUGAGCCCGCUUCGUCCCAGUCUGUCCCAGUAUAUCCCAGUUCUACCCCAGUUUGUUCCGGUUUGUUCCGAUUUGUCCCGGUGCUGUAUAGAGCAUCGAGAGCCUGCUGGGGAAACUGAGGCACACCGGACGCAUCUGACACCGGUUCAUCCCAGUCUGUCCCAGUUCAACUCCAGUUUGUUCCGGUUUGUCCCAGUUUGUUCUGAUUUGUCCCGGUGCUGUAUAGAGCGUGGAGAGCCUGCUGGGGAAACUGAGGCACGCCGGACGCAUCUGAGCCCGCUUCGUCCCAGUAUAUCCCAGUAUAUCCCAGUUCUACCCCAGUUUGUUCCAGUUUGUCCCAGUUUAUCCCGGUGCUGUAUAGAGCGUGGAGAGCCUGCUGGGGAAACUGAGGCACGCCGGACGCAUCUGACACCGGUUCAUCCCAGUGCCUUCCCAGUCUGUCCCAGUAUAUCCCAGUUCAACCCCAGUUUGUUCCGGUUUGUCCCACUUUGUCCCAGUUCACCCCGGUGCUGUAUAGAGCAUUGAGAGCCUGCUGGGGAAACUGAGGCACGCCGGACGCAUCUGAGCCCGCUUCAGACCAGUAUAUCCCAGUAUAUCCCAGUUCUACCCCAGUUUGUUCCGAUUUGUCCCAGUGCUGUAUAGAGCAUUGAGAGCCUGCUGGGGAAACUGAGGCACGCCGGACGCAUCCGACACCAGUUCAUCCCAGUCCAUCCCAGUCCGUCCCAGUCUGUCCCAGUUCAUCCCAGUAUAUCCCAGUUCAUCCCAGUCCGUCCCAGCGCUGUACGGGUGGGAGAGCAUCAAGUGCCUGCUGGGGAAACUGAGGCACACUGGCCGCAUCUGACACACCGGUUCAAACCAGUUCGUCCCAGUUCAUCCCAGUCCCUCCCAGUUCAUCCCAGUCCCUCCCAGUUUGUCCCAGUUCGUCCCAGUCCCUCCCAGUUCACCCCAGUUCCCCCCAGUGCCUUCCCCCCCCCACCCAAUAAAGGCGUGGCCAGUCAAUGACGUCA